UUCUGAUGGGAUCGACCCGGUCGGCCCCGAAAGGGGUCGCACUGGUGGUCUGUCCGGUCAUCCUCGAGGGGAGGCUUUCUGGCAUUCAUUUGUUGGGGAGUCGACGCUCGUCGUUUACUGUGAACAAAUUAGAGUGUUCAAAGCAGGCUUAGGCCGUUGAAUACAUUAGCAUGGAAUAAUAAGAUAGGACUUUGGUGGUUUAUUUUGUUGGUUUGCACGCCGAAGUAAUGAUUAAUAGGAGCAGUUGGGGAUGUCCGUAUUCGAUUGUCAGAGGUGAAAUUCUUGGAUUUAUUGAAGACGAACUACUGCGAAAGCAUUCAUCAAGGAUGUUUUCAUUAAUCAAGAACGAAAGUUAG
RNAcentral lists this ribosomal RNA (356 nucleotides) under uncultured eukaryote. RNAcentral's name for it is "SSU rRNA". It matches the Rfam family "Eukaryotic small subunit ribosomal RNA", at positions 638 to 993 of the family's 1831-position model. The record is from RNAcentral.